Molecule: long non-coding RNA, 463 nt
Filed under: Mytilus galloprovincialis (Mediterranean mussel)
Lineage: Eukaryota; Metazoa; Mollusca; Bivalvia; Mytilida; Mytilidae
Source: RNAcentral
GGAACUUCGGAGAAAUAUUAACUUAUUAAAUUGGAUUUUUCUUGAGAUAUAUUUAGGAUUUCGAGACGACGAUAGGUUAAAAUAUGAUACCACCAGGUCGGAGGAGAUAACACUACAAAAUAUCCUAAAUAUAGAGUAGUCAGACGAAAAAAAAUGCCCCUAAAAAACUAAAAACCGGCCGCAUCCCCACUCUUCAAUAUUACAAUGUUGCACUGUUUAACCUAAGAAAAUGUCAAAGUAAAUACAUUGUCUUCUUCCCUUACAGAAAAAUAAGAAAAAUCAAAACACAAAUACUUCCUUGAUUCAAAAUUUACAACGCUCAAAUAAUAAAACGAAAAUGAAGAAAAACAGAUGUUCUUCAUUCUAUGCCAUAUGCUGGUGCUCGUUUAAUAACUUUUGAAUCAUCGUCUCCCCCUGGUAUAAGUCCCCACCCCCCUUAAUGUGAAUAUAUGAUACACCCGAG